UUAAGCGACUAAGCGUACACGGUGGAUGCCCUGGCAGUCAGAGGCGAUGAAGGGCGUGCUAAUCUGCGAUAAGCGUCGGUAAGGUGAUAUGAACCGUUAUAACCGGCGAUACCCGAAUGGGGAAACCCAGUGUGACUCGUCACACUAUCAUUAACUGAAUCCAUAGGUUAAUGAGGCGAACCGGGGGAACUGAAACAUCUAAGUACCCCGAGGAAAAGAAAUCAACCGAGAUUCCCCCAGUAGCGGCGAGCGAACGGGGAGGAGCCCAGAGCCUGAAUCAGCAUGUGUGUUAGUGGAAGCGUCUGGAAAGGCGCGCGAUACAGGGUGACAGCCCCGUACACAAAAGCGCAUGUGCUGUGAGCUCGAUGAGUAGGGCGGGACACGUGGUAUCCUGUCUGAAUAUGGGGGGACCAUCCUCCAAGGCUAAAUACUCCUGACUGACCGAUAGUGAACCAGUACCGUGAGGGAAAGGCGAAAAGAACCCCGGCGAGGGGAGUGAAAAAGAACCUGAAACCGUGUACGUACAAGCAGUGGGAGCACAGGUUUACCUGUGUGACUGCGUACCUUUUGUAUAAUGGGUCAGCGACUUAUAUUCUGUAGCAAGGUUAACCGAAUAGGGGAGCCGGAGGGAAACCGAGUCUUAAUUGGGCGUUAAGUUGCAGGGUAUAGACCCGAAACCCGGUGAUCUAGCCAUGGGCAGGUUGAAGGUUGGGUAACACUAACUGGAGGACCGAACCGACUAAUGUUGAAAAAUUAGCGGAUGACCUGUGGCUGGGGGUGAAAGGCCAAUCAAACCGGGAGAUAGCUGGUUCUCCCCGAAAGCUAUUUAGGUAGCGCCUCGUGAAUUCAUCUCCGGGGGUAGAGCACUGUUUCGGCUAGGGGGCCAUCCCGGCUUACCAACCCGAUGCAAACUGCGAAUACCGGAGAAUGUUAUCACGGGAGACACACGGCGGGUGCUAACGUCCGUCGUGAAGAGGGAAACAACCCAGACCGCCAGCUAAGGUCCCAAAGUCAUGGUUAAGUGGGAAACGAUGUGGGAAGGCCCAGACAGCCAGGAUGUUGGCUUAGAAGCAGCCAUCAUUUAAAGAAAGCGUAAUAGCUCACUGGUCGAGUCGGCCUGCGCGGAAGAUGUAACGGGGCUAAACCAUGCACCGAAGCUGCGGCAGCGACGCUUAUGCGUUGUUGGGUAGGGGAGCGUUCUGUAAGCCUGUGAAGGUGGCCUGUGAGGGUUGCUGGAGGUAUCAGAAGUGCGAAUGCUGACAUAAGUAACGAUAAAGCGGGUGAAAAGCCCGCUCGCCGGAAGACCAAGGGUUCCUGUCCAACGUUAAUCGGGGCAGGGUGAGUCGACCCCUAAGGCGAGGCCGAAAGGCGUAGUCGAUGGGAAACGGGUUAAUAUUCCCGUACUUGGUGUUACUGCGAAGGGGGGACGGAGAAGGCUAUGUUGGCCGGGCGACGGUUGUCCCGGUUUAAGCGUGUAGGUGUGUGUUCCAGGUAAAUCCGGUUCACUUUAACACUGAGGCGUGACGACGAGGCACUACGGUGCUGAAGCAACAAAUGCCCUGCUUCCAGGAAAAGCCUCUAAGCAUCAGGUAACAUCAAAUCGUACCCCAAACCGACACAGGUGGUCAGGUAGAGAAUACCAAGGCGCUUGAGAGAACUCGGGUGAAGGAACUAGGCAAAAUGGUGCCGUAACUUCGGGAGAAGGCACGCUGACACGUAGGUGAAGUGAUUUACUCACGGAGCUGAAGUCAGUCGAAGAUACCAGCUGGCUGCAACUGUUUAUUAAAAACACAGCACUGUGCAAACACGAAAGUGGACGUAUACGGUGUGACGCCUGCCCGGUGCCGGAAGGUUAAUUGAUGGGGUCAGCGCAAGCGAAGCUCCUGAUCGAAGCCCCGGUAAACGGCGGCCGUAACUAUAACGGUCCUAAGGUAGCGAAAUUCCUUGUCGGGUAAGUUCCGACCUGCACGAAUGGCGUAAUGAUGGCCAGGCUGUCUCCACCCGAGACUCAGUGAAAUUGAACUCGCUGUGAAGAUGCAGUGUACCCGCGGCAAGACGGAAAGACCCCGUGAACCUUUACUAUAGCUUGACACUGAACAUUGAGCCUUGAUGUGUAGGAUAGGUGGGAGGCUUUGAAGUGUGGACGCCAGUCUGCAUGGAGCCGACCUUGAAAUACCACCCUUUAAUGUUUGAUGUUCUAACGUGGACCCGUAAUCCGGGUUGCGGACAGUGUCUGGUGGGUAGUUUGACUGGGGCGGUCUCCUCCUAAAGAGUAACGGAGGAGCACGAAGGUUGGCUAAUCCUGGUCGGACAUCAGGAGGUUAGUGCAAUGGCAUAAGCCAGCUUGACUGCGAGCGUGACGGCGCGAGCAGGUGCGAAAGCAGGUCAUAGUGAUCCGGUGGUUCUGAAUGGAAGGGCCAUCGCUCAACGGAUAAAAGGUACUCCGGGGAUAACAGGCUGAUACCGCCCAAGAGUUCAUAUCGACGGCGGUGUUUGGCACCUCGAUGUCGGCUCAUCACAUCCUGGGGCUGAAGUAGGUCCCAAGGGUAUGGCUGUUCGCCAUUUAAAGUGGUACGCGAGCUGGGUUUAGAACGUCGUGAGACAGUUCGGUCCCUAUCUGCCGUGGGCGCUGGAGAACUGAGGGGGCUGCUCCUAGUACGAGAGGACCGGAGUGGACGCAUCACUGGUGUUCGGGUUGUCAUGCCAAUGGCACUGCCCGGUAGCUAAAUGCGGAAGAGAUAAGUGCUGAAAGCAUCUAAGCACGAAACUUGCCCCGAGAUGAGUUCUCCCUGAGACUUAGAGUCUCCUGAAGGAACGUUGAAGACGACGACGUUGAUAGGCCGGGUGUGUAAGCGCAGCGAUGCGUUGAGCUAACCGGUACUAAUGAACCGUGAGGCUUAACCUU
RNAcentral lists this ribosomal RNA (2905 nucleotides) under Salmonella enterica subsp. enterica. RNAcentral's name for it is "bacterial LSU rRNA". It matches the Rfam family "Bacterial large subunit ribosomal RNA". Lineage: Bacteria; Pseudomonadati; Pseudomonadota; Gammaproteobacteria; Enterobacterales; Enterobacteriaceae. The record is from RNAcentral.